GCAAGUCGAGGGGUAACAGGAAAUCUUUCUUUCUUUGACGACCGGCGCACGGGUGCGUAACGCGUAUGCAACCUACCUCAUACUGGAGGAUAGCCCCUGGAAACGGGGAUUAAUACUCCAUAGUAUCACGAGUUCUAAUGUUUUUGUGAUUAAAGUUUUUCGGUAUGAGAUGGGCAUGCGUCCCAUUAGCUUGUUGGUGAGGUAACGGCUCACCAAGGCAACGAUGGGUAGGGGGCCUGAGAGGGUGGUC
RNAcentral lists this ribosomal RNA (250 nucleotides) under uncultured bacterium. RNAcentral describes it as "partial 16S ribosomal RNA". It matches the Rfam family "Bacterial small subunit ribosomal RNA", at positions 57 to 305 of the family's 1533-position model. The record is from RNAcentral.